GUCCCUGGGAUCGUCAGGUCAGGCCUUGGGCUAACGUAGGCACUCGCAGUUCCUCCGCCUUCAGGAAGGUCUUUUUAGCAGGGGCCUUACGGGUGCGCGCUUCGGUCCUGGAGGCCUUAUCCUAGCCUCCUCUCUCCAUCAGCGCCACCCGUCUGGGGCCCAAAAGGAGGGAGCUUUACCUCUGUCCCCCAGCCUUUGGAGUGUCACCAAACAAGCCAUUCGUUCACCAAAUACUUAUUAAGUGCCUGACAACGGAGAUGUAACGGUAGAAGUUGCUGGUCCCAUCUUGCUCACAAUCCUCCAAAGUUUGGAAGUUACUUUCCAGGAGACUUAGCUUGCACUGAGAGCUGCCCUCCCACCCUCUCUCCAAAUUUCCUCUUGGGAGUAGCCUAACAAGGUGCUGUCACAGACCCUUGCCAGCCACGAUGACCCCACCCAGACCAUCCCUCUGCUGUUUCACUCUUUGAUACUCUCUGGAGCUCUCUGGGGAGGGGUGAGACCUGCUGUCUGCUUUGUACUGUUUGCCCAGGUCUUACAGUCAUGGCUGGCUCCUCUCUCUGAGAACUGGGACUCCUGAACUUGGUGAAAUACCUCAGCCAUCGAUCAUGUUAAAUUAUCGGGGACACUCAUUAAAAAUGUGAGUCUGCUCCAGAUGGACUCUCUCUCUUUCUGCCCUGACCGUGAGGGAGACCGUGAGAGAGAGAGACCGUGAGAGAGAGAAACCGUGAGAGAGACCAUCAGAGAGAGAAAGAGAGACCGUGCCCUGACCUGCUGGACAGUGGAGAUGCUUGUGGGCUGUGAGCAACAGAUGCAAGGGCUGCCGGGAAUCCCAUCUUUCCAGCAUCAUCUGCCAAGGCACAUCAGUUCCUGGGUGUCUUGAUGGGUUCUGGCAGCAUUACUGUCAUUGAAGGAAAACAUUUUAGCCAUAUUAAAGGUGAACUCAGCAAUCCCCACACAGCCUGCCUGGAAGGGACGCGGGACAAGGGUAGGUUCUCCCUGUGAUGGACAGGAGGCAGGCGACCCUCCCACAGCCCUACCUGGCAAUGCAGAUGUGUCCCCAAAAGGCACUGGGGGCAGCUGGAGUGCUGUGCCUAGGCGGGCUCACCCGGGCAGCGGUUCGCUCUGAUUGCAGUGGUUUCCCACCAGCUCCUUGGAGAGCUGGCAGAUGACCCAGCCCCACAGCAGGAGCCGGGAAUGGCAGAACGAGAUACAACAAUUUGAUAUCCACUUGCCAGAUGAGCCGGGUGUCCUCAGUCGCCUGGCUCUGUGCCCAACCUCUUUUUACAUAAACACUUAUGAAUUGAGCCAGGAGGAAAAGCACUCUGAUUAUGAAUUGAGCAGAAGGAAACAAAGUUCUGCAGAUAAACACCAAUGAAACAAAAAACCACGAAUAAGAAAAAUGACAGAAAAGGAGAACCUUCCCAGAAGCCUCCUGCCAGUGAACGGUCACCAGAGCAAGAGCAUGGAGGCCCUGGGUUUUGAACUGUGAGAUAAGGAAGAUGAUGAAAACCUCCCUAGCAGCCAGGCGCAGGAAUGAGAUGCAGCAGCUGGGGAAGCCAGGGUCUCUGGCAGUCCUUGUCUCUGGGCAGUGAUCCAGAGAGAGAACACGAUUGUCUCAGCACUGGAUCUUCUUCUGAGUCGUUUUGAAGGAGCAAUUGCAGAGCGUCUCGGUGUUAAACAUCAUGUUGUGAAUGACUCCGUGAUCUCUGACCCAGUGUCCUUGGGGAUAAAGGAGGGGAG
This 1740-nucleotide long non-coding RNA is filed under the name Homo sapiens (human). RNAcentral's name for it is "HSALNT0060528". The record is from RNAcentral. Lineage: Eukaryota; Metazoa; Chordata; Mammalia; Primates; Hominidae.